Xenia sp. Carnegie-2017 is the source of this 597-nucleotide long non-coding RNA. RefSeq lists it as uncharacterized. The transcript has 4 exons. Lineage: Eukaryota; Metazoa; Cnidaria; Anthozoa; Malacalcyonacea; Xeniidae. The record is from RefSeq and is a predicted model, not a curated record.
CACAAAAUAAUUUGCCACGUAUCAACUCAAAGGACGCAACCAUUUGACGCUUAACUUUUCAGAACGUUAAGUGAUUUGAAAGAUCGAAGGUUCAAAGUUUUGAGCCAUGAACCAGUAAAAGUUGCACAAAAUAAUUUGCCACGUAUCAACUCAACGGACGAAGCCAUUUGACGCUUAACUUAUCAGAACGCUAAGAAAUCUGAAAGAUCGAAUGUUUAAAGCCUCAAUCGUCGACCAGCAAAAGAUAAAUCAAAGUCAAACAAAGUUACAAUUCCAAACAAGAACAGUUUGCUUACCAAAAACAAAUCAUUGCGAUCUUAAACAAGACAAUAAACCGAUUGAGAAAACACGACGUUUCGUCUAAGACGUCGUCAAAUUUUUGCGAGGGAUCUGGGUCUAGGACGCCACCACGUCGUAAAGUAUUAAUGAUUUAGCAAACCUUUGAAGGACUUCGUCAAAUGAUAGUUGAAACAAGUUUCAUCCAUUUCGAUAUUUUUCCUGUUGGAUCGUGUUUUCCGGUCAUUUUAAACUAAAUUUUUGAUAUCAAAAAUAUACUGCAGGAUAUUCAUUUCAAUAAAAUUAUAAAUAAAAGCAAAA